Molecule: non-coding RNA, 2975 nt
Organism: Equus caballus (horse)
Lineage: Eukaryota; Metazoa; Chordata; Mammalia; Perissodactyla; Equidae
Source: RefSeq, a predicted model, not a curated record
UACAAUAUAGGUUUUAGAGAAAUAAAACAUCACAGCUACACCAAAGUCCUAUAUUCCAUAAUCCAAGUCAUAUUGAAGCUGGCUAGAUGUGCUCUAAGCCACACCCAAAGAACAGCUCCCUGGCAAGUCACUGCCCUGGAAAAAACAUCUUAGUGUUAAAUACAACCGAACUUUCUAUUUUUGGGGGGGCUGUGGAGGUGUGAAUAUUAGCAUUAGAAGUAGUCUACUCAGAGAACAAACAAGUCAUAAAUGAACCUGAGCAGAAAAAUGUUAAGUCCAAAGUCUUAUAUACUGUAGAUGAAGUAAUCUUUUGGGCAGGAAAGUGUGCAUGGCUAAAUAGAAAAGUGAAUAGGGUCACUUAGAGCAGAAAUACUGCCCCAAUGAGAGAAGACCUCAAUGAGGAGGGGCAGAAACACACAAAAUGGACACUUUAAGCCAUGUGAGGACACAAAUGCAGUACAAGGGGCAUGCCAACCAAUGAGAGGGUUUCUCAAACCACAAACGGUGAGAAAGACAGACAGAGAGAACAAAGGAUGGCCUCCCAUGGGUAAAAGGCACACAGCAACUGAUGUGCCAUGGUGACAACGUGCUUUGCCUUAGAUAUUACUGAGGAAGUAGAAGCUGGAAGAUCAGCAGUAGUAAACAGUAAGACUCUCAUCCACUGACGCUCCAGAGGCCCAAGAAUUAAAGGCUGGCCAUAAGGAAGUCCCGUUUACAAGGACAUAUAUGGAAUUUGCCCAAGGAACAAUGAACACUGGGUGGGAGCCUGCAGCGGGAGUUCUACACCCAUGCAAAGGACCGUCUAUCCUACAGUAAACUGCAAGGAGCACCUUCCAGGUCCCUGCCCCUCUGCUCAAUGCUCAGAACCUGCUCCUGCUGGACCUCAAGGACACCACCUCCCACAGUUCGAGAGCCUGUGCCCAGAAAGGAAGGUCCUCAAACAGGAGGCCAAGAGAGCACAAGGGAGCUCAGCUGACAGAGACCUGCAGGUAGAAGAGGAAGAAAGAAGCUUGUUGUUUGCUUCAUGACCAUAUCCAUUUAUUUUCCCAGCAUAUAAAUAAAAAAUAUAUAAAUAUAUAAAACCACCACUUUCAGUUUAACGGAAAACUACAACAUAAGAUGCUACUGAAAGAAAUCACAGAACAAUGAACACUGGGAAGGACCCUGAAGAUGCCCACUGCAGUCUAUCUCCUUAUCUAAAUCUAAAGAAACUUAAAAGACUUGUCCAAGGACACAGACCUAAUAGAAAUAACCAGAGCUCAAACAAAGAACUUUUGGGUCUAAGUCCACAGAAGUAGGCAUAGGACAUGCAUACUUUAAAACCUUUUUUUAGCUUUCUUCUAUACCACAUACACUAAAAGAUCCCAUUUUACAUAAGGAGCAAAGUUGCAAGACAUUUUCAUUCCAUUUCCCAAAUAAACCCCUUCUUUCUGACCUCAGCACCAGCUCCUUUUCUCUCCUUAGUUUCUGCUACAUUUAUUCCAAGGUAUCUAUCAAAUCCUUCUUUUUUUCUGGUCCCCUUUAAGACAUCUCUGGAUCCAUCUCAAAACUCCCCCACCUCUGAUGCUUCUCGCCUAUAUCCUCACCCUCCCACAUCUCCUCACCUCUUCUAUUCCAUCUUAGGCCUGGUGAGCUCAGCGUGUUUUCCUUCUUACUCUGCACUCACUGGCCCCUCUAUCAGACAUCUUGACACUUCUUCAACCUUUUAGUCCUCCUCCUCCACCUGCACCCUCCCUCCUGCUCCCAGGAAUGGUUCACCCUUACCACUGGGUCCUCCCACUUUUAUGUGCCAAGUACCUCUUUGAGAAAGGCUGGCUCUCACACCAAAUACCCUAUCCCCCACACACACUCCUCCCAGCCUAGACCCUUGCCUCUCCACUAGCCUCAUUAAGCUACAAUAUUAGUGGUUUAAACAACCAAAAAAGUCAACUUAGAAAAUCAGAUGCCCUCACUGACCCAGCAGUUUCAUCCCUCAUAUAUUCCAACAGGAAGAGCUACACAUGUACACCAAAAAAGAAUGUUCACUGCAACAUGAUUCACGAUUACCAAGAACUGGAAGCAGCCCCAGUCAGCAAUGGAAUGAUUUUCAGAUAAUGAUUUACUAUAAAGCAAUGAAAAAGAACAAACUACUGCCACAUACAACAUAGAUGAAUCUCACAAACAAUGGUGAAUGAAAAAAGCCAGAAAAACAAAUACACAAUGUAUGCCUCCAUUUAGAGAAGUUCUAAAACAGGUAAAAUCAAUCUAGGAUGUUAAAGUCAAGACUGGGGUCACUUCUGGUGAGAAGGGAAGGGAAGUGAUCAGGAAGGGAUACAAGGGGAUCUGGGGGCUGCUGCUAACGUUCUGCUUCUUGACUUACCUGGUGGUUACAUGGUUGCUCAUUUGGGGAAACUCACCAAGCUGUGCACGUAUGAUUUAUGCACUUUUCUUUAUGUGUGUGAUUCUUCAAUAAAAAGCUUAUCUUAAAAACACACACAAAUGGGAACAAGGGAUAGGGUAUGAAACAAAUCCAGUUUAAAACUGGACUGUGAUGAUGGCUGCACAAGCCUAUAAAUUUACUGAACAUCACUGAACUGUACAAUUACAAUGGCUGAAUCUCAUAACAUGCAAAUUUUAACUCAAUAAAGCUGUUAAAAUAUAUAUAUAAAUAAAAGGUAUUGGGUCACUAGAAUGUAAACUCAAUCAAGGGAAGGACUUCGCUUGUGAGGGUUACAUGCCUAAGUCCUGAAAUACAACAGGAGCUCAAAAAAUAUUUGUUGAAUGGGGGAAAAAAUUGGAUCCACCAAAACUUUACUCUUCAGAGUGUCAUUCUUUAUAAUCUCCUUGUGGGAAGUUCUGGUGAGAUUUAUAGAAGAGAACUAAAGUAAAGGCCCUAAUUUCAGACUUUUUAUGUAUUUUGCUUCUCCAACAUAAUAGUGGUUAAGAGCACAGACUCUAUGGGUUCAAAUCCUGGCUCCACUGCUCACCAACUGUAU